UGUGGCUUAAUUUGACUCAACGCGGGAAAUCUUACCGGGUCCGGACACACUGAGGAUUGACAGAUAUACGCUCAUUGCUGCGUGCUUCGGCGCGUGCUUUGAGCUGAAAGAUGCUAGUUCUUUCAUGAUUAUGUGAUAGGUGGUGCAUGGCCGUUCUUAGUUCGUGGAGUGAUCUGUCUGCUUAAUUGCGUAUCAAUAAUAGAGACCUAGUAUACGCGUGGAUUUCGCGUGGUAGUGACCCCCUGUUUAACGACAGGCGUGUGUCGCACACGCGUACCUACGCACUGGUCUCAGAUAGCAACGAACGUGACCGUAUUCUAUUGUUGCAGUGAAAUGUGCCUUCUGGGUACGACCCACUGCUUAGUAUAUGUACGUGCUUCGGCGCGAACAAUAUACAUUAAACUAUAGAGACCGCUGUUUCUUCUUUAAACCAGAGGAAGGAUACGGCAAUAACAGGUCUGUGAUG
This 466-nucleotide ribosomal RNA is filed under the name Ammonia sp. genotype T2. RNAcentral's name for it is "SSU rRNA". It matches the Rfam family "Eukaryotic small subunit ribosomal RNA", at positions 1184 to 1469 of the family's 1831-position model. The record is from RNAcentral. Lineage: Eukaryota; Foraminifera; Rotaliida; Rotaliidae.